RNAcentral lists this long non-coding RNA (2578 nucleotides) under Triticum aestivum (bread wheat). RNAcentral describes it as "long non-coding RNA (TAES_LNC021141)". Lineage: Eukaryota; Viridiplantae; Streptophyta; Magnoliopsida; Poales; Poaceae. The record is from RNAcentral.
CCAUCGCAAGCAAUGCCGCUCCAACUACCAAGGCAAUAGGACUAGACCUUCAAAAUGCACAACUCAUCAGCACUUUAUCUCACCAAGUCACCAUGGAUAAAGCCUCUGACUCAAUGAUGCCACUCCAACUAUCAAUGCAAUAGGACCAGACCUGCAAGACACACAACACUCAUCAGCAAUUUAACUCACCAUGGAUAAAGCCUCUGACUGAAUUAUAUAUAAACUGAAAUCACAUAAUGAUAACAACAGUUAGCAUAACCUUGAGUGCCAUUGAUCGCAUUUUAGAACACGCAAAAGCCUCAUUCAGUGAAAAAAUCUAAAGAACAAAAAAACAACAGCAUGACCUGCUUAAUGACCUAAAAGAUACUAUAUCAUUUUUGUCCAUCACGGGCCUUGAACAUUUGUAUUCCUUAGUUGAUCUACUCAUCAAUUUGUGUUUGCUGAGGUAUGUAUAAUUAUUUGAAAGAUCAUCCAUGCAUGAUGUAUGAGUUGGCCACGACGCAAAGAAUAGUUAUAUCAGAGUUAAGAAAGACAAAUGAAUAAAUCAAGCUUGGGCUACGCCACUCAAAACAUAGUCUGUGUCAUAUUCAAUUAUGAUGACAUUAACUACCCAGAGUCUCCUCAUCUAGUAUCGGGAUGGAUAGCAGUUAAUGCAGAUAUUAACCCCGAUCUUGGAUGGUAAAUUAUAUUUUGGACUCCUUUCAACUAUGAAACCAAGGAAAAAAUCACGGUUAAUAAAAUGUAGAAGAUUAAAUAGCUAAUACAGUUGUGUUAAAAUAUGAUACAGGAGUAACUGUUGGGUUGCAACCUGAAACAUUCCAUCAGCGAUAAACCCUGCACCCAGUAAAAUUUGAAACAUCGCUCAAGGAAGGAGAUAAUUGGUACACUUACUUAGAAAUUGAACAGAUGAAGAAAAUUUGAUCACUUAAACAAUAAAUGAAGUAUGGUAGCUAUUAUUUCGGAUACUGGGAAGCUACAAAAUAGAACAUUACAUCAGGAAAGAAUAUGAGUCAUUUUGAUCGAAGUGUGUUAAAUUAAUCGGCCAGCAAUCUGGUGUAACCAAUAAUAGAGAUUUUAGCAGACAAUCUUUCAAAAGGAAUAGAAUAUCAUAUGCAAAUGCAUGUCAUGUGAGGGGACAAAGAAACUUAUGGAUCAUGUUGCUUGAGCAUCUUUCAUAGAGGGGAGUUCCCUCAAAAGAAUUGAACCUGCUGUUGUGAAGUCGUAAUGUUCAUACUCAUACAAGAAACAAUCAUAAUGGUUGUGUGCUAGAAGAUACAGAGUAUAGUUAUAGAAGAUCAGUCCUUAAAAUGCAUAUUCAAACCACAGGUUCCGCAAAAAGAGAACUCUAUAGGAGCCCAGGAGCUUGAGAAAUAAAAGAGGCAUUCAUCGUAACAAAACACACUUAUUUAAAUGAUUCGAGCUGUAUUCAGGGUCUGAUUGCGUGCUGCUGCUCCUGUUUAAAUGGUUUGAGCAAGUAUAACGUCUCUAGGUGCUCGCCAACCAUGGCCAAGCCAUCGCAAGCAAUGCCGCUCCAACUACCAAGGCAAUAGGACCAGACCUUCAAAAUGCACAACUCAUCAGCACUUUAUCUCACCAAGUCACCAUGGAUAAAGCCUCUGACUCAAUGAUGCCGCUCCAACUAUCAAUGCAAUAGGACCAGACCUGCAAGACACACAACACUCAUCAGCAAUUUAACUCACCAUGGAUAAAGCCUAUGACUGAAUUAUAUAUAAACUGAAAUCACAUAAUGAUAACAACAGUUAGCAUAACCUUGAGUGCCAUUGAUCGCAUUUCAGAACACGCAAAAGCCUCAUUUAGUGAAAAAUCUAAAGAACAAAAAAACAACAGCAUGACCUGCUUAAUAACCUAAAAGAUACUAUAUCAUUUUUGUCCAUCAUGGGCCUUGAACUUUUGUAUUCCUUAGUUGAUCUACUCAUUGAUUUGUGUUUGCUGAGGUAUGUAUAAUUAUUUGAAAGAUCAUCCAUGCAUGAUGUAUGAGUUGGCCACGACGCAAAGAAUAGUUAUAUCAGAGUUAAGAAAGACGAAUGAAUAAAUCAAGCUUGGGCUACGCCACUCAAAACAUAGUCUGUGUCAUAUUCAAUUAUGAUGACAUUAACUACCCAGAGUCUCCUCAUCUAGUAUCGGGAUGGAUAGCAGUUAAUGCAGAUAUUAACCCCGAUCUUGGAUGGUAAAUUAUAUUUUGGACCCCUUUCAACUAUGAAACCAAGGAAAAAACCACGGUUAAUAAAAUGUAGAAGAUUAAAUAGCUAAUACAGUUGUGUUAAAAUAUGAUACGGGAGUAACUGUUGGGUUGCAACCUGAAACAUUCCAUCAGCGAUAAACCCUGCACCUAGUAAAAUUUGAAACAUCGCUCAAGGAAGGAGAUAAUUGGUACACUUACUUAGAAAUUGAACAGAUGAAGAAAAUUUGAUCACUUAAACAAUAAAUGAAGUAUGGUAGCUAUUAUUUCUGAUACUGGGAAGCUACAAAAUAGAACAUUACAUCAGGAAAGAAUAUGAGUCAUUUUGAUCUAAGUGUGUUAAAUUAAUCGGUCAGCAAUCUGGUGUAACCAAUAAUU